This 505-nucleotide ribosomal RNA is filed under the name uncultured bacterium. Its description in RNAcentral is "partial 16S ribosomal RNA". It matches the Rfam family "Bacterial small subunit ribosomal RNA", at positions 28 to 507 of the family's 1533-position model. The record is from RNAcentral.
GACGAACGCUGGCGGCGUGCCUAAUACAUGCAAGUAGAACGCACAGUUUAUACCGUAGCUUGCUACACCAUAAACUGUGAGUUGCGAACGGGUGAGUAACGCGUAGGUAACCUGCCUGGUAGCGGGGGAUAACUAUUGGAAACGAUAGCUAAUACCGCAUAAUAUUGAUUAUUGCAUGAUAAUUGAUUGAAAGCUGCUAUUGCAUCACUACCAGAUGGACCUGCGUUGUAUUAGCUAGUAGGUGAGGUAACGGCUCACCUAGGCGACGAUACAUAGCCGACCUGAGAGGGUGAUAGGCCACACUGGGACUGAGACGCGGCCCAGACUACUACGGGAGGCAGCAGUAGGGGAUCUUCGGCAAUGGACGAAAGUCUGACCGAGCAACGCCGCGUGAGUGAAGAAGGUUUUCGGAUCGUAAAGAUCUGUUGUAAGAGAAGAACGGGUGUGAGAGUGGAAAGUUCACACUGUGACGUUAUCUUACCAGAAAGGGACGGCUAACUACGUG